AAAAAUGUAAAUGCUACUCCGAGAAAGCCUGCAAAUUACAACACUCCCGUGAAAAGGCAUUUAGUGUCAAGGAUUCAGAUUCGACACAUGCGUUUUGUGAAAUACUUGCCCGAUACUAUGCUGUUCAAGAACGAUCUUAGGGAUGAUUUUACAGCGAUUAAGAUCGCAAAGGACAUCAAACUCAACGAGGUUGUACCCAACAAAUACAGACAGAAACUCUCUGUCUCUGCAGCUAAGAAGAAAGACUUAAUGACAUUGUGUAAGAAUGGAGCAAUUCCUAAAGAUUAUCACGUCUUGAGUAUUACAAAAACUUACCAUCAAGUGCCCCAGUGAAGGAUAGAUUACCAGAGUCAGACAUAGAGGAAUCUGAUGGUGAUGAAUCAGACAACUAUCCGAACAUCAGUGGUUGCUUAACUAUUGUAUAUAAACGCAUUGACUGCAGAAGCGAUUCAUAAACCUAAAGAUUAUAAUUAAGAUCUAGUCAUAAUUUUAAAGGACUAUAAAAUUUAGUGAUAAAUGACAAUCUUUUGAGCAUGAAGUGAAAAGGGAACUAAAUGUUGCACAAAAUUUGAUAUCAAAAUAAUUCUAUGUCUAUUAAGAAAUGUAAAUCUCAAAGCAAAGAACAUUGUGAUAGUUUUUGAGUUUGAUGGUAUAUGAGAACCGGUUUAAUGACACGGAAUCUAGGAUUAGAUUUUGUUGAAACAGUAUGGUUUGAUGCCAUAUGAAGACUCUAUAAGACUAAAUGACCUAAUGUUCUUUGUCUGUAUGACACCAAAAUAUGCUACAACAACUGUAUAUGUUUUUGAGCAGACAUAUAUUUUAAUAAAUAACAUACAGAGAG
Mercenaria mercenaria is the source of this 841-nucleotide long non-coding RNA. RefSeq lists it as uncharacterized. The transcript is spliced from 2 exons. The record is from RefSeq and is a predicted model, not a curated record. NCBI's taxonomy places the organism in Eukaryota, Metazoa, Mollusca, Bivalvia, Venerida, Veneridae.